AUGCAACUCUUUCCCAAAGUUGUCUUGGGAAAAUCAGGAAGCGUCCCUGGCAGACACACACACAAGGCAAGGCAGAAAGGCAAGCUUUUCUUUCCCCCAAAGGAGUUGUAUUUUGAACAGGAUGGGAUAUGCAACUCUUUCCCAAAGCGUCUCUGGCAGACACACACACAAGGCAAGGCAGAAGGCAGGCUUUUCUUUCCCCAAAAGGAGUUGUAUUUUGAACAGGAUGGGAUAUGCAACUCUUUUUCAAAGCGUCCCUGCAGACACACACACAAGGCAAGCCACAAAGGCAGGCUUUUCUUUCCCCAAAAGGAGUUGUAUUUUGAACAGGAUGGGAUAAUGCAACUCUUUUUCAAAGCGUCCCUGGCAGACACACACACAAUGAAGGCAAGGCACAAAGGCAGGCUUUUCUUUCCCCAAAAGGAGUUGUAUUUUGAACAGGAAAAACACCCACAGGACAGCCCUUUGCAAGUUUGCAACAACAAAACAAAUAGAAAGACCUAAGACCCACACCACCAAACUCAGCCACAGACCACCCCACCUUUUCUCCUGUCCUGGUCUUCACACAGCCAUGCUGUGACGCAGCAAUGUUUCCUGCCUGCCUACACCAAUGAAUCUACCCUUCCACCCUCUCCAAAAGUCCCAGUGCGACUGAGCCACGAGGCGUGUGCACGCUGUUUUCAUUAAGCACGUCCUACCAGCCCCUCCCCCUGGUUAAACGUGCUCUCUGAUUGGCUACAAGGGGCAAACAACACACUAGAUUGCCCCAGUGGACUUAAAAAAGUUUGGAUGAUUUGACAAAGCAUUUUUUAAAAACGAAAAAAAAGGCGCCAUUACGGAAAACGGCCAAUCGCGGUUCGAAUCCGCGAUAUCCAGGCGUGUGGACAGCCAAGAUUCAAUAUUGCUUCAAAAAAUCCGAAAAUAACGAAUCAAUAACGGUAAACGGGGAAAACGAAUUAUUUGAGCAAGCCUACAAGAUACAGUCCCAAGGCUAUCUAGAUGUCUAAAUGUUUGUUUGCAUUUUUUUUCAAAAGAGAUGCUAUAAAGUGAAUCAAAAAAGUAUCUCCUAUAGGAAGUCAUUAGCAAGCAAUAAUUUUAGGAUACAUCAUGCUGUAACUGUGUCAGUAGUUGGAUGUGAGAAAGAUGAGAAAAAAGACCAAAUAUGUAUAAUAAGCACAAAUGAUAUGCAUCAUUCAAACUUUUCCAAGUAUUCUUCUACAGCGUGUAGUUUGAAAUAAAUUAGCAUAUACCUUGAGUGCUUCAGUACUUAAAUGCUGAUUUUAAUUGCUUUUAGAUUACAUAUUGGUUAGUUUCUGUAACUUUAGCAAUCUGGUGAAAAGCAAAAGUACUUCUAAAAAGGGGAGGGAAUUAUUUCCAAACGUAAUGAGAAAACUACCUUAAAUUUACCUGUGGCUGUACUUAUGAACCUGUUCUACAAAGUAAGGAGAGUCCUUAAAGUAAUUUGUUUUGAUAUGCUUGAUUGCACACUCUUAGUAUGUAUGCUUUGCUCCUAUCUUAGGCUUAAAUUCUACUUAUUUUUAGAUUGUCAAAGUGAAAAGUGGGACAUCCUAAGACUUAUACAGUUCCUAUGAGAGGCAAUACAUCUUUUUAGCAGGCCUUUUCUUCUGCUGUAAUUUCUUAGCUAUUCUAGCUGAAUUGUAAAAAUAGGUUGCUUUGCACAGAGAAUAUUCCAGGUAAAAAUAAUCCUGAAGGCAAUGGUGCAGGGAUGCUGGGGAAAUAAAUCUAUGCAAAUUCCCAAAACUUUUCUACAAGUUUAUUAUCAGGUUUUUCUUCAUCAAUCCACAUAUUUGCAGGGAAUACAGCA
RNAcentral lists this long non-coding RNA (1825 nucleotides) under Anolis carolinensis (green anole). Its description in RNAcentral is "lncRNA (ENSACAG00000043591.1)". Lineage: Eukaryota; Metazoa; Chordata; Lepidosauria; Squamata; Anolidae. The record is from RNAcentral.